Molecule: non-coding RNA, 1292 nt
Organism: Linepithema humile (Argentine ant)
Lineage: Eukaryota; Metazoa; Arthropoda; Insecta; Hymenoptera; Formicidae
Source: RefSeq, a predicted model, not a curated record
CAAAAUUAUUUGCAAAAUCAAUUAAAUAUUUUGAAAAAAAUAUUUUUUAAAUAUCUUAUUUGUUCUGCUGUUACGGAAAAAUACGGAUAGAUAUUGUUCUAAAGGAAAACAAAGUCGCCAGAAAUUAAAUAAAAUUUACUGGACCACUCUUGCAAUAAAAUAAUGAUGGAUCUCAAAGAAACAUUGAGUUCAGGUAAAAUCUAUCGGAGGAAACAUCUACUUGCAUUAUUAAAUAUAACAUUUAUUGGAAAGUGGACAAGGAAUUUUAAAGAAAAUUAACGAUUGAGUUCGAUCGUGCGAACGAAAUUAUCGAUGAUAAUUAUUUAUUGGGCGAAUAAAGAUAUAUUAGGCUCCGCGGUGAAAACACAACACAUCAGAUGAUACUGAACAUCGAACGAGAUUGUUUAGAAGUUUAAAAUAUUGUUUUGGCAUAUUAUGAUCAUUAAUAAUGUGUUAACUAUUUUUAAUGCUUAAUUAUUUGUUAAGCAUGUAUAAAUGUAAAUGACUAUACGAAGGAUCUUAUUAGUGAGUAUUACUUGUGAACUUUGAUUAAUUUAAAAAGGCGCAUUUAUAGGUGGAAUCAGAAUCGUGACAGAUUACUGCCGUAGGAUUUUACGGAUCUUGUUUUCUUUAUUGCAUGGAUCUGAGUUGUACUCUAAUAAUAGUGAGCGCUAAAUUAAUAGGUUAUUUCACACAUACGCAGUUAUGCUUUUUAUUGUAUGCAUUUUAUUGGACCGCAAGCAGCAACCGCAGCAAAAGCCGAUUACAGAAGUACAUGAUGCAUAUUUCGAUUCAUUUCUCUUGAUAUCAAGCACAUCGUUAUUUCUUUUAUUUUUUUUGUAAUAUUUAUAUAGAGUUGUACAUAUGUAAUUAUUAUUUGUUGCGUUCCAGUUGUUUUUGCGCGAUAGAAAUAGGAUUUGCAAUAAUUUCUACCGGAAUGCAGAAAAAGGGAACUUUUAUUCACUUAUUGUUGAUUUAACGAAGAAUUUCAUAUCGACAUGUUUUUACUAUUUUUCUUUUUAUCUAGAGAAUUAUCAUCAUUUUUAUAUGAAAAUAUGGAACAUGGUUAUUCAUCUGUCUUUCAUUUGAGUUUUUGAAAAUUGAUGGGAAUUUUAUUUAUGUCUGUUUCACAAUGCUAAUUGUUCUAAAUAGACUUUAUAUUUUUUUUUCUCAAUUUAUAGAACCAUAGAGAUCACUGCAAGGCAGAGGCGGACUGGACAGGAGAGAUACCGAGAAAUUUCUCGGGGGGCCCCAUGUUUUUGGGGGCCCCAGUGGCCCCCAAAUCCAAAUUU